Molecule: long non-coding RNA, 453 nt
Filed under: Portunus trituberculatus (swimming crab)
Lineage: Eukaryota; Metazoa; Arthropoda; Malacostraca; Decapoda; Portunidae
Description: uncharacterized LOC123502886, transcript variant X6
Source: RNAcentral
UCCUUCCUUCCUUGCCUUCCGUCAGUCACCCAGGAACAGUCACGGAGGGUGGAACUCUUCUGCUCCGGUAAUCCUGUUGUAAUUGUAGCCUUGGGCGGACUCAACCAGAAGACUUGUACCUUGGGGUCGUUCAACCUCGGGAAGGAGUUGGAUACCUUACAGAAGAAUUAUUGUAAACUGAAAAGGAAUGCCGGAGAAGAGUAUACAUUAGGAAGAAAGGUUACAGGAAAGGGUGAUCAUGUACCAGGACGACUCCAAGCUGCCAGCUGACAAUAAACAGAUCUCGGUGUCAAGACUACGAACGGUGGAGGCAGGACGAGAGACGGUGGGUGAGUGGAGCGCCUACAGUGGUCAUGUGCUGCCUCCCGCUGUGUGCACCGUCCGGGGCGUCACUGUUUCCGAGGCUGCCAAGGAAGGAACAGAACCUCGUGAGAUGAUUAGAAAAGACAAGCA